CCUACGGGUGGCAGCAGUGGGGAAUAUUGCACAAUGGGGGAAACCCUGAUGCAGCGACGCCGCGUGAGUGAAGAAGGAAUUCGGUAUGUAAAGCUCUAUCAGCAGGGAAGAAAAUGACGGUACCUGAGUCAGAAGCCCCGGCUAACUACGUGCCAGAAGCCGCGGUAAUACGUAGGGGGCGAGCGGUAUCCGGAUGUACUGGGUGUAAAGGGAGCGUAGCCGGCAGUGCAAGUCUGGAGUGAAAGGCGGGGGCUAAACCCCCGGACUGCUCUGGAAACUGUACGGCUGGAGUGCAGGAGAGGUAAGUGGAAUUCCUAGUGUAGCGGUGAAAUGCGUAGAUAUUAGGAGGAACACCAGUGGCGAAGGCGGCUUACUGGACUGUAACUGACGUUGAGGCUCGAAAGCGUGGGGAGCAAACAGGAUUAGAUACCCGGGUAGUC
RNAcentral lists this ribosomal RNA (440 nucleotides) under uncultured bacterium. RNAcentral's name for it is "partial 16S ribosomal RNA". It matches the Rfam family "Bacterial small subunit ribosomal RNA", at positions 338 to 795 of the family's 1533-position model. The record is from RNAcentral.